CUUCCUCCCAGAAGGAUGCUGGAGAGGCAAAGACCAACAAGUCUACCCUGGGGACCCAUGUGCCUGUCUUUCCUGCAAGGUCUGUUAAAGGUUAGUAGCAUAUUCAUGUCUGUAUUAUAAUACAACCCAAAACCUGAGGCAAAGAGAAGGAAUUUCCUGUUACUGUGAAGAACAGCAGAUAGAUAGUCUGCAUGGCCAGGGUAUACCAGGACCUGUCUUCUCUGUCUCCUGCCAAACCAUGUUUAGGGAGGUCUUGUGCUGCAAUGCUGUGGAAAGGAGCAGCCCUUGCUUUCCAUUCCAGCUGCUUUUGUUUGGACAGGUAAGUAUGGAUGUGAAUUCCUCCCUUCUGAAAAGGCCAGAAGAGCCUGUUCCAGGUGACAGGGAUACAAACUGAAAGGGCUUCUGUGGAUUUAAUGGGAAAGGCAUAUUUUAACAGCUGUUUUUGUUCCAGAAGACUGACUUGGCCUACAAGGAAAUGGAUGGGAAGCAGUACAGGCAAGAGGCAUGGAUGAGCUGCACAGCAUCUCAUAAUUCCUGGGCAGCAGCCUAGCCACAGGGCCUGUUUUCUGUCUUACAGCUUUCCAUGGGAUAAGGCCAUUCUUCUCACUGAGAGUUACACUUGGAGCAGGGAAGGAGAACAGGACUGCAAGGCCAGAUAGGAUUGUUUAGGUUGGACAAAGAUGCUUAGCCCUUCCUGGGCUGUGUAGCUUGAUGUAGCAGAUUGAAGUACAGAAACUCCCCAAAACCUGUUCUAAAACCUGGAGUGAACUCUUCUUGAAAGGCAGAGGUAGGAGAAGAGGCCAUCAGCAAGUCACCUGAACCACUCCCAAAGCCACAGGCAGCUGCAGGACCCGGAGAGAAGCCAAGCCAAAUGAGAAGAGGUUUUUGGACCGUGUAAGGACUCUACAGCAGCACGUUGUGCAGUGGAGGAAGGGCUGGUGUGAGGUGAGAGCCAAAACUGCACUGCCCUAUGCCAUGAAAACCAGUGGACGGGCUGCUGAAGGUUAAUACUGCUUUCCUAUGCACUCAGGAGAUCAAAAGGGGCUGCCUUAUGGGAUGCUUUAAGGAGAUGCCUUAUGUUCAGCCCCAUCCCAUCCCCCUGAGGUCCUCCCAGAGGACCCCUGAGGACAGCAGUGGGGGGCAGUGGUGCUUCAGCUUGAUGCCUCCUUCCCAGCUUCAUACUUAAUGGGCACUGGCUUUUCAACAUGGUGAAACCACACAGCAGCAAAUCCACAGCUGAGUAAGUCCACAGAGAACUGAUCUCGCCUACUUGCAAGAACCCAUGCUACAUUUGCUUCUGAUUCAACGGUGGAGAGGAAAAGGAAGGAAGAGGACAUUUUGGCGAAGGACCUGGCAGCACAGCAUGGAAGGUGAGGCUGAUCUGAAAGCAGUGCUCAAUUAGCCCAAGGCAACUGGGACCAAAUGCAGCAUCUUGAAGUUACUGUCUUCUCUUAGGUAGCUAAAGGACUAUCCUUUCUUAGGAUCAGAAACUUCCAGCUAUGUGGGCUUGCCUUCCAAAACUAUGCACAUAUCCAGACUCUUUCCAGCUGGGCGCACUCUUCUGGAGCUGAGAUUCUGGAAAGGACAAGCAGCUCUUCCCUUGUUUUACCUGAACAUAUCUGUAUGCUGCCUGCUCCUGUCCCACAUCCUAAUGCAUCUCCUUUGCUGCAGCACUGGGAUGUGGGUGCCCACUACAGCCCUUGUUUUAAGCCUCCUAGAAGAAAACUUGUAUGUGAAGGUUGGAGAGGGUCAUGCUUGUUCUGUGCUUUCUAACAAUCUCUCACUGGCAAGGGGCCACCCUGGAGUGUCCAAUUCCUUGUCAUUACCUAGAGAAAAGCUGGUUUUGCCUUCCUUUGGCUUUCUUAGAAGCUGGGCAUGAGGAAAGGUGCUCUCCUCUCCAAGGUGACAUGGUGCAAAUCCUCACACUAGCACCCAGUGGAUGUAGGACAGAGAAAGGCUUUCCAAUGCCACAUCAUAGUGCUGGUGCAUCACAGAAUCGUUUCACCAGGGUGCUGGAGUAUGUCUGCUCUUCCAGGAUGAGGAGGCAUAAGGCAAAAUCAGAGCAGGAUGAGCAGAGUGCUACUGAGUAAGUUAUUAGGGAAGAAAAAGCUGGUUUUCAGGUUCCAGAAUUUGGGAGCCCACAGCUUUUCCAUCACCUUGGGUUAGAAAGGGUGACAAAGUGGCCAUGGGCUGGAGUUUCCAGCUAUCUUUGUUGAUUCCAAGGGGAAAGAUGUAUAUGCUGAAGCCUGACCAAAGCCCCUCCUGGAGGAUCCAUUUCCUGGGAACUCUCACUUUGAUGGCUGUGAAAUCCAUAACGUUUUUCUUCUUGUAUCUGGGAAACUGCAGUUGAGCUCCUGUGGGGCUGGUCUUUGCUUAAAUAAAUUACAGUAAAAAUAACUCCCAAAUGCAACACCAACAUGGGCACGUAAAUCAAAGUCUGGCGUGCCCAUUAAGGUAAAGUGUCUCCUUCUGCAGGAGCUGUCUGUGGAAGUGCCAUCCUGAAAGUGAAAUCCAACUGAGAGGGAGGAGGUAAGGUCCCAUCAAGAUAGGACUCACAAAUCCAUCAGCAGCUUCACUUCAGAAGAGAUACAAGGCUUUAACAGGGCUGUCAGCAGCAUUCUUCAGGUCACACUGCUGCAUAAAAGAGAGUGUUAGAACCUGGGACUUAAACUAAACAGAUUUCCUAUAGGAAACACACACAAAAUUACAUUGCUUCUAAAGUUACUUUUAUAGACAUUUUCCCUGAGAAAUAUUUCUCCCUGGAAAAAUAAAUUCACAGGAUGUAAUUAAAACAGUUCUAUGUGUACACUGGACUGGCCCCCUUUAAGUGCUUCACCAAAUGCACCACUAAAUAAAGGAAUGAAAGCCAGCUUUGUUUAACUCUAUUAAUAACAAUAUGUAUUAAUUAUAAAAUGAGACAUUGUCCUGCCUGGUUUAUGGUUAUGAAAAUAGCUUUUAAUAAGGCUGAGACUGGAGUGCUCAGCUUUGCAGUUGUCUGCACUGUUAAUAGGGCUUUCAAAAUCUCCCCUAAUCUACUUCUUUUACUUGUCAAAUCCUGGCUUGAUAAAGGCAAUGGGGAUCAGAUUCCACACCCCAUGGAUUCUGGCAAUAACCAGGUGCUGAUGACUGUAAUCUUUUCUGCUUUUCUUGCCAUUUAGCUUUGGUUAAACAAAAAGGGGCAACUGCAUUGUAUUAGUUUAACUUCCAUGCUUUGGGGAACAAAGCCUGAAGAGAUUUGUACUGAUCUAUCACUGCAUUAAAUGCUCCCAAAUCUGCUUGGAUAAUUAGGGAUAAUGAUUCCCUCCAUACCUGCAUGGCCCAGUCCAGCCACAUGUGGGAAAGAAAGGCAGUCUGUUCAUGAGGCCCUCAGUGCCAUGGGUUAGUGGUGGCCUUGGCAGUGCUGGGGAAUGGUUGGACUUGAUGAGCUUAAAGGUCUUUCCCAACCUGGUUGAUUCUAUGGUUCUAUGAUUCUCUUUAUAGCCCACCUAAAACACUCUUGAGAGGCUAUUGUGUCUUUCUUUUCCAUUUGUCACACCAGGACUGUGUAAUGGGAUGCUCCUCACCUGAGGAAGGGAUGCUGGUGUUACUAAACAUGGGCUGAGGUAGCCUGAUGCCCUAGAGAUGCUUCUUCUGUGGUGGCAUCUUGUGAUGCUGCCUGUCAGCCCCUAGGAGAUUCAUUGCAGAGGGUCAUGGCUCUGCCAUUUCAGGGAGUGAUUUGGAAGAUCAAGGGAAGUGUUUGCUGGGCUCUAGUGGAGGAACAUCCUUGCCUGCCCUUUUUCCCUGUAUCCUCUCUACACAGGCCAUCUCUCACACUGGAGUUCAUUAUACCCAGUUGUGUACCUUUUGGGUUUAGUUUGGUUAGUUCAUGUGACCUUUUAUUCUUUCUCAGAAGCUAAAACCAAAAAUUACACCUUUAUACCAGCGUCAACAUAGCUAUAGAAUGGGUUUGACUGCUAUAUUGCUGUCCUGGUCUCAGAGCAGCUUCCAAUAUCUGAAGGGGCCUACAAGGCUGCAGAGAGGGACUCUUCAUCAGGGACUGUAGUGAUAGGACAAGGGGUGAUGGGUUCAAACUGAAACGGGAAGUUCAGGUUGGAUCUAAGGCAGAAGCUCUUCCCUGUGAGGGUGCUGAGGCACUGGCACAGGGUGCUCAGAGAAGCUGUGGCUGCCCCAUCCCUGGCAGUGUUCAAGGCCAGGUUGGGCACAGGGGCUUGGAGCAACCUGCUCUAGUGGAAGGUGUCCCUGCCCACGGCAGGGGGUUGGAACUGGAUGAGCUUUAAGGUCCCUUUAACACAACCCAGUCUAGGAUUCUGUGAUUCUAUGUCCUAUGAAUAUAUGUAUUCUAUUCUGUGAUUUUCAUGUCCUUCAGGCACAACUGGCCAGGUUUUGUGUCUCUCUCUGCAGCACACAAGGUGAUGGUUAUAAUGCAUCUCCAGCCCGGGACUUCUUUAUUGAGUGGAGAGGGCUCAAUUCAAUAAAUAUACAUCCGGCUCCUUCGCAGUCCUAGGCUGGCUUAAUGAAACUGCGAGGCACUUCCAAGAGAAGGAUGUUUAUUUUUCUCUGCUGAUUCAGUUAGGCUGGUCCAGCUCUUGUGUGCCCAGAGAGCUGCUCUAUAAAGAGACCCUUGUGAUUGCAGCGGGGAUGCUGUGUCAGGCAGUAAGUGCCUGCACUCACUCAACACUGGGAUUCGCUUGCUGCAGGGAAGGGGGUGCGGGCGGACGGCUGGAUUUGCUAUACAUAAUGCAUGGGGAGAAAAAAGCCUGCUAAGAGCACAGUGUUAAGGUGGGAAAGUCAAGCACUUGCAAGGCAGAUAGAGCUAGAGCUGUCUGGAGAGCAGGCUUAAUUCAUCUGUUUAUGGGAGCACAUUAUGAAACACGCUCCCAUUUUUGCAUAGUCCUGUGCUUGUUUCUUAGGUAAUAGCAUUUUCUACCUUUUGCCAGAACUUGCCACCUUCAAAGAGUACUUUUUCCAUAGAUAAUCCAACACCACAAAGAUCCCAAUGCCUGUUCCUAGCUGGAAGCAGCAGUGAAGUCAGGCAGCUCCAAAAGGAAGGUGGAGAUGUAGAUACUGCCAUGGAGGACCUGGUUGCUCUGCAAAACCCAACCAAGUGUUUCCAUUACUACAGCUGCUUAUCCCUUCAGCUGAGGACAGAGGCAGUAUGCUGCAGGCUGGAAAGGGUGUCCAUCCAUCUACAGGCUGCUGUCAGCUCUUGGAAAAUACUCAGAUUUUGAUGGGAAAAUACAACUGGGAACUUUUUCCCCCCCUUUGUUUUUGCCUUUUGAACAACUUUUGUUGCCACUUGUGUGGAAUUGUCAGAAAUACCUUGAGGAAAAGCAAAUGCAGGAAAAAAGAGAAGAGCUGUAACAGCUUGGGAGGAGAAGAGUUUAUUUCAUAGAUCAUAGAAUCACAGGAUAGUUUGGGUUGGAAAGGCCCUUAAACCUCAUCCAGUUCCAACCCCCUGCUACAGGCAGGGAUACCUUCCACUAGAGCAGCUUGCUCCAAGCCCCAUCCAACCUGGCCUUGAACACUGCCAGGGAUGGGGCAUCCAAAUACUUGUAAGCAUGUUUGCUCCAUGAGCUGGGGGCCUGCGGCCAAGGUAUGUGCUGCCACCCUCUUUCAGCCUAACCCACACCUCUCUGAGUACAACCAGGAUGAAAUGCAACCUUUUAUGGAGCAAGUUUUCCUUAAGGGUGUCAUUGCAUGGUGAAGCCAGUGUAAUCUUCCCUCUGGGACCACCUUGGGGCUGGCAUGCUCCAUGCAGGACUGACUGUGCUGCUCAGCUGGGAGCAGCAGGUGUACUGGUCAUCUGUCUCAUUUUGUGCCAUGCUGAAGCUGAGAGCAUGUCUGUAAGUACAGAAAUACAUAACAAUUUGUGGAGAAGAGAGACUGUGGUUAAAUGGAGGCAUUUGCUGCAAGAACUGAAUGAACCUCAAAUCGUGAGUGAUCCAGACACUGGUGUUCCAGUUUCAUCUGGCCUGUUUACCCUCACUUUGUUCCUCUCUGCUUUGUCCAUGGGGACAAAUACCAUAUUACAAGUAAACACGCUACAUCCUCUGCUGCCCUUCCUUGCCUGUCUGCACUUUCCCCAUGGGAGAAGAGAGAAGAGCCAGUUCUGCAUGACACAGUGAGUAAACAAAUCUAUUUUAAAGACAGAUUGUGCUAAGCAGGAGUGGCCUCUCCCUAAGAGCUUUGAAAACUGGCAUUGCAUUCCUGCUGGGAAAGCAGUAAAGUACAAAGGUUUCUGUCCCUUGCACUAACUAUCCCCUUGUGCACACAGGCAUUAUGGCUUUUGGUCUGGGGCCAUGUGUAUGAAAGCCCAUGGACUAACAUGCCUUUUUCCUCUGGAUGAGACCAGCAAUCCAACACCACACUUUGCAGCUGGAAGAGCUCAUUAAAUCUAGUCCCAUUAAAUCUGUGGGGGCUGCAGACGACGCAACAGCUAAGAAAGCUGUUCUGGUCUGUCUUGUGCUAUAUUCAGGCACAUCAACGGGGAACUGAGAUGUAUGUGGCUGCUCCCCUGCUCAUGAUCAGACACAGAGGGUCAGUAGCUAGAUGCAGUUGUACAUUGGAAACCAAGAAGGGAACACAGAGGAGCACAAUGUGGUGGGUCUCUUCUGCUGGGAUGCCUGCAAACCCAGCGAAGGCAUCUCCCAAAGAGUGGCCAGUCCUGAGCCCAUACCAAUCCUAGAAAGCCUUUCAUAAACACAGGGAAGCCAAGCUGAGGGCUGGAGUUCCACCUGUCCCCACUGUCUAGUUCCCAGAUCUGGUCCCUUUGACUCAAGGAGAGCCAAAGGCACAGGGUGCCCAGAGAAGCUGUGGCUGCCCCAUCCCUGGCAGUGUUGAAGGCCAGGUUGGACGCAGGGGCUUGGAGCAACCUGCUCUAGUGGAAGGUGUCCCUGCCCAUGGCAGAGGUUGGAACUGGAUGAGCUUUAAGGUCCCUUCCAACCCAAACCAUUUUG
Pezoporus flaviventris is the source of this 6956-nucleotide long non-coding RNA. RefSeq lists it as uncharacterized. Lineage: Eukaryota; Metazoa; Chordata; Aves; Psittaciformes; Psittacidae. The transcript has 10 exons. The record is from RefSeq and is a predicted model, not a curated record.